GCCCAGGUGGUGAAAUUGGUAUACACAAGGGACUUAAAAUCCCUCGGCUUCGGCUAUGCGGGUUCAAGUCCCGCCCUGGGCACCA
Molecule: transfer RNA, 85 nt
Rfam family: tRNA
About the family: Transfer RNA (tRNA) molecules are approximately 80 nucleotides in length. Their secondary structure includes four short double-helical elements and three loops (D, anti-codon, and T loops). Further hydrogen bonds mediate the characteristic L-shaped molecular structure. tRNAs have two regions of fundamental functional importance: the anti-codon, which is responsible for specific mRNA codon recognition, and the 3' end, to which the tRNAs corresponding amino acid is attached (by aminoacyl-tRNA synthetases). tRNAs cope with the degeneracy of the genetic code in two manners: having more than one tRNA (with a specific anti-codon) for a particular amino acid; and 'wobble' base-pairing, i.e. permitting non-standard base-pairing at the 3rd anti-codon position.